UGCCUGUAGUCCCAGCUACUCGGGAGGCUGAGGCAGGAAAAUCGCUUGAACCCGGGAGGCGGAGGUUGCGGUGAGCCGAGAUCACGCCACUGCACUCCAGCCUGGCGUCAGAGCGAGACUCUGUCUCAAAAGAAAAAAAAAAAGAAAGAAAAAUAAUGCCAAGUUCGUUUUCCAGGUGCUUGCACUUCUUUGGUUUGACUUUGCCAGCAGCACAGAGUUGGCAUUAUUUGUUGCACAUCUUCUUCGCGACUCGGUAAUGUCAGCCUUUAAAUUUCUGUCAUCCAAGUGUGCGUGAAAUGACACCUUACUGAACUCUUAAUUUGUAUUUGCAAUUACCAAUGAGAUUGAACAUCAUUUCAUGUUUUUUGACCAGUCCUGUUUCUUUUCUGUGAAAUGCCCCUGAAUAUCCUUUGCCCAUUUUUCUACUUAUUUUGUCUUGAUUUAUGUAUACGUACAUAUUUGUGUGCACAUAUAUACACACUUAUGAGUAUACACACUACAUUUUGGUUUUAAUAUUAAACGUGUUGUUCGCAUGGGUUGCAAAUAUACUCUGUUUGUAGCUUCUCUUUUUGCUUUGUUGAUGGAAUCUUUGAUGAGUAAAAAUUAUAAGUACUGAUGUAAUACAGUUUUCAGUUGCAUCUUUUUCCAUCAUGUAUCAUCCAUCCUUGUUACAAGGAUUUGAAUAGUCCAUCCUUUCCACAAUGAUUUGCUGCUUCUGAAAUAUGCUAAAGUCCAUACGUGUGGGUUUGUUCUGAAGCUCUAUAUUCUGUUCUACUUGUGUAUCCUUUUACCAAUAGCAUACUCUCACUUUAGCGACAAUUUUUUUUUUUUUUUGAGACGGAGUCUUGCUCUGUCGCCCAGGCUGGAGUGCAGUGGUGUGAUCUCGGCUUAGUGCAACUUCCGCCUCCCGGGUUCAAGCAAUUCUCCUGCCUCAGCCUCCGUAGUAGCUGGGACUACAGGCGUGCGCCACCAUGCCCAGCUAAUUUUUGUAUUUUUAGUAGAGACGGGGGUUUCACUAUGUUGGCCAGAAUGGUCUUGAUCUCUUGACCUCGUGAUCCGCCCACCUUGGCAUCCCAAAGUGCUGGGAUUACAGGCCUGAGCCACCAUGCCUGGCCUUAACUACAUAUCCUUACAUCGAAUAGGGUAAGUUCCCCUACAUCAGCCUCCUUUAAGAACACUUAGCAGCCAGGCUGGGUGCAAUGGCUCACACCUGUAAUCCCAGCACUUUGGGAGGCCGAGGCAGGCAGAUCACUUGUGGUCAGGAGUUCAAGACCAUCCUGGCUAACAUGGUGAAACCCCGUCUCUAGUAAAAAUACAAAAAUUAGCCGGGCGUGCUGGCAUGCGUCUGUAAUCGCAGCUACUCGGGAGGCUGAGGCAGGAGAAUUGCUUGAACCCAGGAGGCAGAGCUUGCAGUGAGCCAAGAUAGCACCACUGCACUCCAGCCUGGGCGACAGAGCGAGA
Molecule: long non-coding RNA, 1461 nt
Filed under: Homo sapiens (human)
Lineage: Eukaryota; Metazoa; Chordata; Mammalia; Primates; Hominidae
Description: HSALNT0344168
Source: RNAcentral